Molecule: ribosomal RNA, 465 nt
Filed under: uncultured bacterium
Lineage: Bacteria
Description: partial 16S ribosomal RNA
Rfam family: Bacterial small subunit ribosomal RNA
Source: RNAcentral
GAUGAACGCUGGCGGCGUGCUUAACACAUGCAAGUCGAACGGAAAGGCUCCUGCUUGCAGGGGUACUCGAGUGGCGAACGGGUGAGUAACACGUGUGUGAUCUGCCCUGCACUUCGGGAUAAGCCUGGGAAACUGGGGCUAAUACCGGAUAGGACCACAUUUUGGAUGGUGUGGUGGAAAGUUUUUCGGUUUGGGAUGAGCUCGCGGCCUAUCAGCUGGUUGGUGGGGUAAUGGUCUACCAAGGCGUCGACGGGUAGCCGGCCUGAGAGGGGGUACGGGCACAAUGGGACUGAGAUACGGAGCAGACGGGUACGGGAGGCAGCAGUGGGGAAUAUUGCACAGUAGGCGCGAGCGUGUUGCAGCGACGCUGGGUGGGGGAUGACGGCCUCCGGGUUGUAAACUCCUUUCGCUAGGGACGAAGCGGAAGUGACGGUACCUGGAGAAGAAGCACCGGCUAACUACGUG